Molecule: long non-coding RNA, 1034 nt
Organism: Agrilus planipennis (emerald ash borer)
Lineage: Eukaryota; Metazoa; Arthropoda; Insecta; Coleoptera; Buprestidae
Exons: 3
Source: RefSeq, a predicted model, not a curated record
UGCAUAUUGUACUUGAAUAGAGAUUACGAUAUUUCCUUUAACGUUUAUCUAUUGUCCACAGUAUAAAUAAACGUUGUAGUCAGUUGUAGUGUACCUAUAGUAUUCCCUUCAAUGUGUAUAUAUUGUCCACAGCAUAAAUUUAAAAAAAGCGUUGAUAAUGCCCACGUAUUAAGUGGGCGAAACACGUGUCUGCUCAAAAAGUUUUAUGGGUAAUUAGGGCAUAAAAACUUGGGAUCACAUGUGAUGAAAUUUUAGUUUCUCUUUCUCUGUGCAAAGUAGCAGUACCAACAGUCCUGAGGAAAGAGUGAAGGUGCCUUUUGUCAUUGGGAAUGGAGACACUGUGUUAUUGUUAAAGGAAAAAUUUAUGACAUAAAUUGAUUGACUAACAAAUAAGAAAGAGUAGGAUGUUAAUUUUGACCCUAGCGAUGAUGACAUGGGAUGUCUGACCUGGUACUCCUUCUCAAUUUGAUUUUCAUUCCACAGUUAAUUCAGGUAAUAAUGCAUAGUUAAAUUAAUAUUAAUUACACUUUAUUAAUCUGGUGUCAAUUUGGUUAACAAACAAACUAGAAUAUAAUCAUAGGAUGACGAACAUAUGUUACUUCUUUGUAUAAUACCGUCAGCUUAUUCAAUUUUUUUCUAAAAGAGAACAUCGAUGUGCAGUUCCAAUCCCCAAUUUAGAAAGGUUUUUUGUUGAGUAUUAAUAUUUUAAGCUGUUGAUUUUGAAAGCCGAAUCUUUAAUAAAUAAAGGAAUUCAGGACUGCCACUGCAGUCUGACGCUCAGAAUACUUUGCAGUGAAGUGAGUUGUCUAUAUUAUAUCAAAGACGAGCAGUCGUCAGCGGUAUUUUAAAUUCAAAUUAUCAUAGUACAAAAGUGGCUGCUACGGUGUGAGUCGAAACUCGUAAGCAUCUAAAUGUUUAGGUUUAAAUAAAAUAAUCUAAUUUUAUUUGGUACAUAAGCGGUCUAUGUAUUACGAUACUUACACUGUUAAUGUAAAUUAUUUUUUUUCACUUUGUUUUGUAUAUGUAUUUCUCUA